GCCAUCAUGGCGUAGUGGUUUGAGCAUUGGACUGUGACUCUGGAGACCAGGGUUCAACUCCUGAUUGGCC
Phrynosoma platyrhinos (Desert horned lizard) is the source of this 70-nucleotide non-coding RNA. NCBI's taxonomy places the organism in Eukaryota, Metazoa, Chordata, Lepidosauria, Squamata, Phrynosomatidae. The record is from the annotation of a GenBank genome assembly.